AUCAGUUUUGUCGAUGUGAAAGGAGGACUAAGCACAAAGCCCUGGCUAAUGCCAUCACCAAAACCAAAGCAGAUGAACAGGCAUGGGUGCACUUCUAUCCAACUGUGGACCAACAGAAAGUUUUGUGAUAGCUGUGGCGAGCAUGGUCUGAAUGGAGAUCUGAUUGUUGUUUAUGAUGUUAGCAGAGACUCUGGACUGGGAGAAAU
Molecule: long non-coding RNA, 206 nt
Organism: Melanotaenia boesemani (Boeseman's rainbowfish)
Lineage: Eukaryota; Metazoa; Chordata; Actinopteri; Atheriniformes; Melanotaeniidae
Exons: 2
Source: RefSeq, a predicted model, not a curated record